GCAGCAACAGCAGCUCCGACUUGGCCUGAAGAGCUUGUGGCCCGCAGGACAGCCAGAAGUGGGGUCAAGGAAAGCCUGGUGGGAAGCACUGGUCCUGAUCUCUGAGUGACCUGCCUUAGUUGACCUCAGAGGCAACCAGAUGCCCCAGGAGAAUUCCCAACGCUGCAAAGCUACAAUCACGUGCAACUCUUCCAAAGCCGUGCUGUGUUACUAGGGAGGGAGCUUCAUCAAAGAGCCACAGGAAUCGGGGGAUGUGUGACAUGGACAAAAGGAGGUAGUUGUGAGAGCAAGGAUUUUCAUCAGGACAACUUCAUCACUGGCAGGAUCCGUGCCCACAAAACGAGCAUGGGUGACAGCAUCUGCCAUGUUCUCCAUGCCCUCUGCUGUGCCCUCAUGGGUGGGAUCUGCUCCAGCGAAAAAGGAAAGAUUAAGUGAUGUGGAGAGGAGAGAGAUAAAAGGAAACUCCAAUGACCAGCUGGCCUGAGGUCUCCAAUGACCAGCCUGUCUGCCAAGUCCAGGAAGGGGAAAGAGUAACACCAACAAUACAGCAGAGGGAAAAGGCACAGCAGCGGCAGCCACUGGAGGCUGUGAAGAAAGAUGACCUGCAGGUGGUGCUCAGGGCAAGGCUGGAAGUGGCUGGGCCUGAUUUUGUUUAGGAAAAGUAUGAAGCUGGGACUAGGGUGUCGGAGAGGCUGAUGCACCUGUUCAGAAGCUAGUUGGUACCCAGGAUUCCUGCUCAGGAUCCUGAAUGCAUCAGCUAAGCAAAUCCAACAUUUCUAGAAU
This is a long non-coding RNA of Gorilla gorilla gorilla (western lowland gorilla), 783 nucleotides long. RefSeq lists it as uncharacterized. The transcript has 5 exons. Lineage: Eukaryota; Metazoa; Chordata; Mammalia; Primates; Hominidae. The record is from RefSeq and is a predicted model, not a curated record.